RNAcentral lists this ribosomal RNA (1068 nucleotides) under Triticum aestivum (bread wheat). RNAcentral's name for it is "partial small subunit ribosomal RNA". Lineage: Eukaryota; Viridiplantae; Streptophyta; Magnoliopsida; Poales; Poaceae. The record is from RNAcentral.
AUGUUCUGUUCUAGUUCAUAUGUUCAGAUGCUAUUUGCCUUCACUCUGCUAAAUUACAUGACAUGUUUCAUCUGUACUACACAAGUCAUGUUUUAUCUAGUAUUUCUGUUAGCAAAAGCGUAUGGUAAAUUGCUCAUAUUUCCAACAAUCCAAAAACCUUAUUAUAGGCAAUUUACCCCGAGUGAAUUUGCUGCUUCCAUGAGACCUCCUAUGUUUGAGGGUAUCCAUUAUAAGAGGUGGCGCUUGAUAGCAGUCUUAUGGUUUCAAACCAUGAGUUGCUAUGACGCCACUCUUGGCAAAUCUGAAGGAGAUUAUGAUGCUCAGCAGGAACAAGCUUUUCAAAAAAUGGAUACCCUGUUUAAGGCUUUUCUCUUGAGUGUUCUUGUUGAGAACAUAGUUGAUGCUUAUGCGUCAAUUGAUAAUGGAAAAAACAUGUGGGAUGCACUCGAGGCCAGGUUUGGGGUCUCGGAUGCCGGCACUGAGCUGUACAUCAUGGAACAAUUCUAUGACUACAUGAUGACUAAAGAGCGCUCCGUGGUUGAGCAAGCUCACGAGAUACAGUCAUUUGCUAGAGAACUUGAGCACUUCAAUUGUAUGCUACCGGACAAGUUUGUUGCUGGAGGCAUCAUCAUUAAGUUUACUCCUUCGUGGAGGAACUUUGCUACCUUACUGAAGCAUAAGAGGCAGGAGUUUUUCGUUCUGGAUCUCAUUGGUACUCUUGACGUGGAAGAAAAGGCGAGAGCAAAAGACACACGUGCUCGAGGUAUUGAGGGAGGAUCUAGUGCCAAUCUGGUACAGAAGAAAAACUUUCAGUUCCACAAGUUCAGGAACAAGGGCAAGUUUGAUGGUAAAGCAAAGUUUGAUGGGAAGAACAAGGUUGUACAACACACCAACUUUAAGAAGAAGAAAGGUGUUUGUCAUGUGUGCGGAGAUCCUGAUCAUUGGGCUCCUAGUUGCCCUAAUUGUUAUGACAAGGAUCAUCUUGGGAAAGGCGGAAAUACCGCUAAUGUGUUCAUUGGUGACAUUGACAUGAAAGAUGUUGGACCGCAGGGACUUCAACCGUGCUGA